Passer domesticus (house sparrow) is the source of this 499-nucleotide long non-coding RNA. RefSeq lists it as uncharacterized. The transcript has 3 exons. NCBI's taxonomy places the organism in Eukaryota, Metazoa, Chordata, Aves, Passeriformes, Passeridae. The record is from RefSeq and is a predicted model, not a curated record.
GUUAGAACAGCUCCAGCCCACCCAGUCAACCCAGCUCCUGAGCCUGGGUCUGAAGGGCCCUCAGAGGAGACAGGAAGAAAUGUCUCCAGGCCAUGACACGUGUCAGCAGAAUAAACUCCUCAGGUGAAGUAAGAUCUUCAAGAAAGCUAACUGAAUCUGCCUGGAGGUCUUCUUUGCUCAGAGCUCUUGGUGCUGCCAGUCUGUAACACAGCUUACAGCACGAGAAGGCAAAGCAAACACAGGAAAAAAGACUGGAGGAAAACCAGGCUGACAUGUCUGAAUUGUGUGGUCAGGGGCGUUUCCCAGACAUGGGACCCCCCCACAACCCCAUCCCACCACAGCCAGUUUGCUCCACUGCCAGAAGGGAAGAGCAGAGGCUGUCCCAGACAGAUUUUCCUGCUGUGCCUCACCUUAGCUUUCUGUAGGACUGUUCCCUUCCCCGUGACCAUAACAGAUAAGGGCCGGUUUUUUAAAGCCGUUGCUGAGUUCACCGGUGAGU